UACGGAGGGAGCUAGCGUUGUUCGGAAUUACUGGGCGUAAAGCGCACGUAGGCGGCUAUUCAAGUCAGAGGUGAAAGCCCGGGGCUCAACCCCGGAACUGCCUUUGAAACUAGAUAGCUUGAAUCCAGGAGAGGUGAGUGGAAUUCCGAGUGUAGAGGUGAAAUUCGUAGAUAUUCGGAAGAACACCAGUGGCGAAGGCGGCUCACUGGACUGGUAUUGACGCUGAGGUGCGAAAGCGUGGGGAGCAAACAGGGAUUAGAUACCCUGGUAGUCCACGCCGUAAACGAUGAUAACUAGCUGUCAGGGCACAUGGUGUUUUGGUGGCGCAGCUAACGCAUUAAGUUAUCCGCCUGGGGAGUACGGUCGCAAGAUUAAAACUCA
Molecule: ribosomal RNA, 381 nt
Filed under: uncultured bacterium
Lineage: Bacteria
Description: bacterial SSU rRNA
Rfam family: Bacterial small subunit ribosomal RNA
Source: RNAcentral